UUGUCGCAUUUGAUUUGCCUGUUUCCUCAGUCCUGGCAUUAGAAACGGCGAUGUGGCAUUUGGUCGCGCUACACCGCUAGUCGCUGGAAAAAGCAGGUUGUUCGUGGGACCGUUUCGAAAACUGUCACGCUACUGAGAAAUGUUGUUAACUUUAACGUCAGAGUUUCAUUCUGAUCCCACAAUCUGUCAGCAGAGAGAUCAAAAGAUCCAUGUGAAUCACUCGAAAGACCAGAUGCAGAUAGGCCAGAAUCCAAAUGAAUCGCUCCGCUCGGAUCGGCAGCUCGACUUCACUUAGUUCGUUUUUGGUUUCAAUAUGAAUAUCUCAUCAUCGGUUGGAGUGCUUCACUUUUGAGCAAAUUCUACCACCCGUUUUUGCAAUACAAGUAGAUGAACAUGUCCUCUGGGUGGCAGCAUGUUUAGAAAGUGGAGUCUCCCAAGCCUCCGAGGGAAAACUGACACACAUGGAUCCAAUAUAGGAAAACCUUCAUACAGUAGAAGUAGACGACAUGGAGCCAUCCUUCGUUCGGAGGAGGAAGUUAGUGGUGUUCAUGUCUGCUACUGUUUUUCAUUUGCAGUCACAAAACUUUUGAACGACUUCCAAACAACUUCCCCUUUCACAAACGCAAAGGUGUACCUCCAGCCAAUGUGAUUUGUAAAGAUUUUCAGAUUGUAGCUGAUGUCUGAUUAUUCAAAGCUAUUAUUCGUUUAUUUCGCCUUUCAGAAUCGGAGACAUUACUUGUUAGUCUGCCUUCCUUAAGUAAAUGAGCAUGUUCCGCCUGUUUUUUUUUUGUUUUUUUUUUGUUUUGUUUUUUACUUAACCUAAAACAUUUUUACUAGCCCCACUACAAAAAAUUACAC
Labeo rohita (rohu) is the source of this 858-nucleotide long non-coding RNA. RefSeq lists it as uncharacterized. The transcript is spliced from 3 exons. The record is from RefSeq and is a predicted model, not a curated record. NCBI's taxonomy places the organism in Eukaryota, Metazoa, Chordata, Actinopteri, Cypriniformes, Cyprinidae.